UGGUGGGGGAGGUGAGGGACCUGGAUAAAGGCUAGGGGAGCGCUGGCCCGAAAAAGGUUGAGAAACACUGAGAUAGCCCAUCACUAGCAUGCGGCCUCCUCAUCUCCAACAAAGAACCCAUUCUAUAAAGAAUUAACUGGAAUCUGAAUCACUUCUAGAGCACCCAAAGAGAGACCUAACCCUGGAACCCACAGUAUCUCCUCUUUGGCUAAAGUCUCCUUCUAAAACAAAAAACAGACGACCCCCGUAGCCCCUCCCAAGGACCAGACUCAGAUUCUCACAUUCUUAUCAUUGUUGAAAUAAACUUUAUUUAUCUGAUUAUCUAUUCUCCUGGUGGUGUUCUGUAUGUCGGUAAAGAAACUGGAACCCAACAUGACAUUUACAGUAUCUUGCAAAAGGAAUCUGACCUCUUAAUAUGUUCCAUUUUCUCAGCUCUAAUCCACAAACCUCAGUGUGUUUCAUUUGGGCCAUCUUUAUGCAACAGGAAGCACUGCUAAAGUUGAAAAUAGCUGUGACAGUGAUCCAGAUUCCACCUGAAAUGGCAAUGCCUCAAUCUAGUGAACGAUAAAAGGAGCAGCAAGAAGCCCAAAGAAAUUUUUUUGGCUUGACAAAAUGUCCUCCACUGCAAGGAAGGUCAGCUGCCUUGACCUUUUGACCAAACAUUUUACACAUGCUCAAAGCAAAAGUUUAAAAGAAAUGCAAAAGGAAAACAUUCUGUACCAUGGUUGGUCAACCGUCUU
Molecule: long non-coding RNA, 740 nt
Organism: Poecilia latipinna (sailfin molly)
Lineage: Eukaryota; Metazoa; Chordata; Actinopteri; Cyprinodontiformes; Poeciliidae
Exons: 2
Source: RefSeq, a predicted model, not a curated record